This 486-nucleotide ribosomal RNA is filed under the name uncultured bacterium. RNAcentral's name for it is "partial 16S ribosomal RNA". It matches the Rfam family "Bacterial small subunit ribosomal RNA", at positions 30 to 507 of the family's 1533-position model. The record is from RNAcentral.
AUUGAACGCUGGCGGCAUGCCUUACACAUGCAAGUCGAACGGCAGCACGGGUGCUUGCACCUGGUGGCGAGUGGCGAACGGGUGAGUAAUACAUCGGAACAUGUCCUGUAGUGGGGGAUAGCCCGGCGAAAGCCGGAUUAAUACCGCAUACGAUCUACGGAUGAAAGCGGGGGACCUUCGGGCCUCGCGCUAUAGGGUUGGCCGAUGGCUGAUUAGCUAGUGGGUGGGGUAAAGGCCUACCAAGGCGACGAUCAGUAGCUGGUCUGAGAGGACGACCAGCCACACUGGGACUGAGACACGGCCAAGACUCCUACGGGAGGCAGCAGUGGGGAAUUUUGGACAAUGGGCGAAAGCCUGAUCCAGCAAUGCCGCGUGUGUGAAGAAGGCCUUCGGGUUGUAAAGCACUUUUGUCCGGAAAGAAAUCCUUGGCCCUAAUACGGUCGGGGGAUGACGGUACCGGAAGAAUAAGCACCGGCUAACUACGUG